RNAcentral lists this ribosomal RNA (495 nucleotides) under uncultured bacterium. Its description in RNAcentral is "partial 16S ribosomal RNA". It matches the Rfam family "Bacterial small subunit ribosomal RNA", at positions 30 to 507 of the family's 1533-position model. The record is from RNAcentral.
UGAACGCUGACGGCGUGCCUAAUACAUGCAAGUCGAGCGAACGGACGAGAAGCUUGCUUCUCUGAUGUUAGCGGCGGACGGGUGAGUAACACGUGGAUAACCUACCUAUAAGACUGGGAUAACUUCGGGAAACCGGAGCUAAUACCGGAUAAUAUUUUGAACCGCAUGGUUCAAAAGUGAAAGACGGUCUUGCUGUCACUUAUAGAUGGAUCCGCGCUGCAUUAGCUAGUUGGUAAGGUAACGGCUUACCAAGGCAACGAUGCAUAGCCGACCUGAGAGGGUGAUCGGCCACACUGGAACUGAGACACGGUCCAGACUCCUACGGGAGGCAGCAGUAGGGAAUCUUCCGCAAUGGGCGAAAGCCUGACGGAGCAACGCCGCGUGAGUGAUGAAGGUCUUCGGAUCGUAAAACUCUGUUAUUAGGGAAGAACAUAUGUGUAAGUAACUGUGCACAUCUUGACGGUACCUAAUCAGAAAGCCACGGCUAACUACGUG